UACGGAGGGUGCAAGCGUUAUCCGGAAUCACUGGGUUUAAAAGGGUGCGUAGGCGGCGCUAUAAGUCAGAGGUGAAAGGCCACCGCUUAACGGUGGGACUUGCCUUUUGAUACUGUAGUGCUUGAAUCAGGCUGAGGUCGGCGGAAUGUGACAUGUAGCGGUGAAAUGCUUAGAUAUGUCAUAGAACACCAAUUGCGAAGGCAGCUUGACUAGACCUUGAUUUGAACGCUGAGGCACGAAAAGCGUGGGGGAGCGAAACAGGGAUUAG
Molecule: ribosomal RNA, 268 nt
Filed under: uncultured bacterium
Lineage: Bacteria
Description: partial 16S ribosomal RNA
Rfam family: Bacterial small subunit ribosomal RNA
Source: RNAcentral